GAUGAAGAACGUAGCGAAAUGCGAUAAGUAAUGUGAAUUUCAGAAUUCAGUGAAUCAUCGAAUCUUUGAACGCACAUUGCGCCCGCCAGUAUUCUGGCGGGCAUGCCUGUUCGAGCGUCAUUUCAACCAUCAAGCCCCAGGCUUGUGUUGGGGACCUGCGGCUGCCGCAGGCCCUGAAAACCAGUGGCGGGCUCGCUGUCACACCGGGCGUAGUAGAUUUUAUCUCGCUCAGGGCGUGCUGCGGGUUCCGGCCGUUAAAAAGCCUUUUUUACCCAAGGUUGACCUCGGAUCAGGUAGGAAGACCCGCUGAACUUAAGCAUAUCAAUAAGCGGAGGA
Molecule: unclassified non-coding RNA, 336 nt
Filed under: soil metagenome
Description: partial contains 5.8S ribosomal RNA, internal transcribed spacer 2, and large subunit ribosomal RNA
Rfam family: 5.8S ribosomal RNA (bases 1-120)
Source: RNAcentral